Schistosoma haematobium is the source of this 45-nucleotide non-coding RNA. Lineage: Eukaryota; Metazoa; Platyhelminthes; Trematoda; Strigeidida; Schistosomatidae. The record is from Rfam.
AUGCAGCUGACGAGUCGCAAUUAAGACGAAACGCGUGUCCUGAAU